UUCUCAUGGCCAAUGUCAAGUAGCAAUCGCAGAGACUCUGCUCUACAAUGCGAUAGGAUAUGAGAUCGCUCCUCUUCGGAUUAAAAGCAGGAUUCUUCCUUUCCCCAAAAGGAGAAAAAAAAGACUCAAAUGCUAACAUCAACAAAGAAGGCUUGUUCUAUGAUGAUACUUACACACUUUGGGUUAUGCGAAUAUUAAAUUAACUCGCCCCAAUUAUGCAGUGCACCAUCAGAAUAACAGAUACUAACCUUGUUCAAAUUUGUGCGACAAAAUCUAAAAUAUAACAUAAUAUUUGUAUGGCUUAAGGGUAAAAUCACUAAAGCUUCUAAACUAUUUCAAAACAAUAUGAAAAAUAUCAAAAAUGAAGAAUUAAAAGCGUAAAGUGAAUGUGAGAUGAAAUUAGUAGACAAGAACCAUUAGGAACCCAUCUGUGGAUUCAUCUCAGCAGUUGUCUGGCCGCCGAUGAUAAAUUCAGCUUUCCCUUUAUGCACUGUCGCUUAAGAACCGCACUAUUGCAUAAUUUAGCGAAGCCCUAUAUUAAUGCGAGUGCAAUUACAUUCGACGCUGAAAACUAAAAUUCUACAAUGACGGCAAACAUUGAAAGGAAUAUUGAAAAAGUAAAUUGCCGCACUAUAGCUUACAAUAAAGGGCGGCCAUUGAGUUGGGAGAGCAGAACCGGCUCCGAAGCAAAACCCUAGAUGAAGUUUAGAGGACAAUGAAAAGGAGGUUUUAUAGAUGGGUUUCGGUGGAUAUGACUAGCGGCUGCCACAAAGUGGGCUUGAAAUUCAUGUCAUCGUCAAAAUUAAAUGACUGAAAAAACACCUUAAAGAGAGGAAAAAAAUCAUUACUAAAUGAUUAUGGCCUCAGAAUUGCAGAAAUGACAGCAAGUCCUCGAGGGCCAUUCAGUCCCGAAAGAUGGUGUUCUUUAUAAUUCAUAUCCUCACAGGCCAAAUAUAUUCUAUAAUUAUUAAUAACAAGAAAUAAAAUGUAUUUCUCAUGGCCAAUCCCAAGUAGCAAUCGCAGAGACUCUGCUCAACAAGGCGAUAGGAUAUGAGAUCGCUCCUCUUCGGAUUAAAAGCAGGAUUCUUCCUUUCCCCAAAAGGAGAAAAAAAAGACUCAAAUGCUAACAUCAACAAAGAAGGCUUGUUCUAUGAUGAUACUUACACACUUUGGGUUAUGCGAAUAUUAAAUUAACUCGCCCCAAUUAUACAGUGC
RNAcentral lists this long non-coding RNA (1215 nucleotides) under Nicotiana tabacum (common tobacco). RNAcentral describes it as "long non-coding RNA (NTAB_LNC015179)". Lineage: Eukaryota; Viridiplantae; Streptophyta; Magnoliopsida; Solanales; Solanaceae. The record is from RNAcentral.